Long non-coding RNA from Archocentrus centrarchus (flier cichlid), 4027 nucleotides. RefSeq lists it as uncharacterized. The record is from RefSeq and is a predicted model, not a curated record. Lineage: Eukaryota; Metazoa; Chordata; Actinopteri; Cichliformes; Cichlidae. The transcript is spliced from 2 exons.
CCUUUUAGGUAGUUUUUGUUUAGUUAUCGUCUCGUUUUCGUCAUGAAAAAAAGGGUCGUUGACGAAAACUAUGACGAAAAUAGUUCGUCAACGAAAUUAACACUGCUUUGGAGACAUACCAAGCUUAUAAAUAGCUGCCUUGUGAUUGAACUGACUCAAAUUAACUUGGCAAACUGAAACUUCACAUUGCCAGCUCUGGAUGUUUGAGACACACACACUCUCUCACACACACACACACACACACACACACACACACACACACACACACACACACACACACACACACACACACACACACACACACACACACGAAAAAAAAAAUCCUAAUUGGGCAUGGAGUCCUGUUCCUGUUCCAUUGCAGCAAAUCUAAAAUGGCUGCCAACAGACAGCUCUUUAAAAAAAAAAAAAAAAAUGCCUGUGUAACCUUUACUCAAGCCGUUCUGGGGAAAAUCACCGAACUGUGCUCUGCUGAAGGAAGCUCAUGCUGUAUCUUAUCUCUGUGCCCUGUGUGAGCCCCGGUGUGCGUUUGUCGAGACACAGCAGAGAUAGAUAGGGCAGUUCAGUCCAAUGCUGGCCCAUAGCAUUUGAACAGACCUCAAAUACUCUUGUCAUGAUUCAUCUCUUAGAUCAUUUUCAGUGAAGUAUCUCAAUUACAUUCUGACAAUAUGACAACUGUUGUUACAAAUGUCUUAAAGGUGUUUGUACCUUCAGCUCAGUAGUGUUUUUGUGCUGUCUAAAUGGGGUGCUUGUGAAGGACCUUACUUGGUUGGCACUGUUGAUUUUAAAGGUGUGGUUUAAAAAAAAAAAAAAUGGGUCAGUGAAGGUAAGGUUAAGAGGUUUGGUCAAAGUAAGGGUAAUCCAAGUAUCCCACUUAGAUAAUACCAUGCUAUAGUUGAGAGCAACAGUAAAUACAUUCCCGAGCUGAUUAACUUGGCGAUUCAAGCUAUUGGCCUUACAGAAACCUGAUUAAAACUGAGAAAUGACUGCUGUGCCAUGCCUGCUUGUUGGGGGUGGGGUGGGGUGGGGUGGAGUUGGGGGGACAGUCCAGUUAACCAAUAUCCAACCCGCUUGUGCUUGUCUGUUUCUCUCCUUUCUGUGUGUUCGCAGUUCUAAACAGAUCAACCUGUGUGUCAGGAAAACUAUAUCCUCACACACAAAGAGAAGGAGAGAAUGAACAGUAAAUAUUCAAACUACACAAAACGUUGUUCAACAGAAAAAUGGAUCGAUAAAGAGUUGAAGCUCUCCGUGCCAAGUGACUCCUCGUAAAUGGGUACUUAAACUCUUUUUUUUUCUUUUUUUUUUCCCUCCUCUCCUCUUGGUGGGGUGAGAUGAGGAGCCAAACGGACUUGGUGUUUAAAGUGAGAAAAUGAAAGCUGUGGUUCCUAAUGUCCUGUCUAAGUGGAUGUCUCUGUGUGUGAUGAAGCGUGAAGUGCUCUGUAACCCUAACAAAAUGACUAUCACUGUGUUCCUGUGGUUUUAAAUGGGCUCCUCCUCAGUGUCACUAUCUCGGCCUCCAUCCUGCUCAGUAUGAAAUGGAAAGGCGAAAUGGAGGACAUCCAUAAAUGGAGUAAUUGCAUGAAGGGCAGGUGUUUAUCGAACCCUCAGCCCUUACACACCAUAAUGAUUCAAAGGGUCAAAUUGGUGCUUGGACUUUAUAUUUUGCUCUGUUCGUACUGAAUAUUCGAUAAAGUUAGAUUAUCUGCAGUAAUUUGCUCCCCUUUCAAGAUAGAUUCUUUGACAGUUCACACCUCAAAAUGCUAAAAUGCAGAUCUAAAUAUUUAUUAUUAGCUGUAUUUGACAUUUUAUUUUUGAUAUUAAUUAUAAUAGAUUAUCUUUAGAUACUGAUCAUCAAAUGCAGACUUUGAUGUGAAUGCAAGGGGGGGGGGGGUUAUUGUGCUGAAAAUGUAUCUGGCUCAGACUGCAAAAGGUUUCCUUCAGGAUUCUCAGGAGUUUUACAGCGUUCAGUUUACCCUCUACCUUCACGGGCUGCUGCAGCGAAGCCUCCACACAGCAUGAUGCAGCCACCAACACGCAUGUGGGGAUAGUGCAUUUCUAGUGGUGAGAAAUUACUGAUUUGUGAACAUAUUGGACAAAAUUAAAAAAAAAAAAAAAAAAACCUAAUUCUGUGUGGAACUUGCAUUUUUGUAAUACCAACUUACAGUUAAUACCAUGUAAUACCAACAAUACCAUUAGCCCACUGGUUUUGUAGGAAGUAUUUCCAGGGUCAGAGUUUCUGUUGGCCUCUUAGUGCUCUUCUUCACUAAUUGUUGCACAAAUACAUUAUGCUCUUUAUUUCAUGAUAUUAAACCAAUGUCCCAUAUAGUCUAAAGUAUUACUUAGAGAAAAGGUCACUGAAGUAUCUGUAAUGCUGGCCUUCAUUUAUAGUCCUGGCCAAACUUCAGUACUCUACUAAAUAUUAAAUGAACAUAUAAAAGGGAUGAAUACUUUUUAGAGAUGUUUUACAUUCUUUAGUGACGGUGAUAAUUUAGGGAAUAAAAAGGGUUUUCUGACUGUAAUGCAUCAAACUGCUAUCUGGAUGUAUUGUUGAUUGACCUGAAGAAAAGUUAUUUAGUCUAACAUUAUUUAUUCAAACAUUGUAAUACAGACAUGAUUUAAUAAACAAAAAUGUAAAUUAAUUAAUUAAUCAAGGAUUUCUUGUGAAAUGUUGGCACUUUAUAUCCUUGUUCCAUAAUUCCUUUUUGAGGGAAAAUUGUUCCUCUUGGAUCUCUUUUGUAGAUGAGUUUAAUUCGAAUGAUUUUCAUUUCAAACUCUGCAUAUUUUUAACAUCUUAAAAUCUUAUUGAUUUAGUGUCCCCUUUGAACCAGUCGUCUGUUUUUGUAGUAAUCUAAUUACAGACGUGUGAAGUGUGACUGCAAAGCCACUGUUUGCUUAUUGCUCUCCUACAAAUGUUAAGAGAUGCAAAAUCGAUGCUUUAAUUCAACAUUUGCAUUUCUAAUGUUGGCAUUCUCCAAACUUUAUCCCUCUUAAGUCUUGCGCUGUUCCCUAAAGCCCCGAACAAAAUGUGGCUGCAAAGAGGGGUAGAUGUGACUCAGGUCAAAACCUGUGUUAAAUACUGUCGCUACACUUGAACUGUUUUAACUAUUACAUACUUGAUUAAGAGUUCAAGACAGGUGUCUUGUGAUAGUACUUAGCUUAUACUCUGGUUAUUGUCUUUGUCAAAGUCGAGCGUGAGUUUUACAGAAAUAACGGGGUCCAUUUCAUGCGAAGAUGUAUUCUGUUAUGUGACCAUGUGCUGCUUAAUUCUUCAAAAUAAGUUUCAUCUUCUAACAUUUAAAGCAGAUUUUUUUAUAUUUUUCUGAGCCAUUGUUUGUUUUAAGUCUCAGCACUCCUUUUUGUAAGUUUUGUUUGUUUUUAUUUUAUUUAUUUAUUUUUGCUUAAAAUUCCAUCAUGCAUUUAGAUGCAAAUAUGAAAAAGCCGCUUCUGCACAUUAUUUCACUGAGACUCUAAUAAGAAUGUUUCUGGAAGAAAUGUUGCUGGUAAAUACUGUUUACAUCUACUAAAGGGGUUUGAAUGGGAGGAAUGGAUUUUUGUUGCAGCAAAAGCCGUCAGAAGCUGAUUUCCCACUUGGAGCUCUGGAAUAAUGACAUGGGAGAUGAUCUCAGCGUUGCUCUUGCUCAGUACAGUAUGUAUCCUCUAAUCUUUCUCGCUGUGCUGUUGCAUGACCACCAGUCCUGUUACUGCGGAACUCCAGACGCUAUCUAUUCCCAGCAUUAGCUAUUUUGCUCUGAAUGAAUCUUCCCUUUUUAAACACCCAACUGGAACAAAAGCCGCUUCUGGGCUUGGCACUGCUGAGUUGUUUUUGUUACUCCCACUGCAAUAUUUGCUCAGGGUGCCAAGUUCAUUUGAAUGUAUUCGUUAUAUAAAUGCUACAGCCGUGAUUUAUGAGGACCAUGCAGGCUGUCGUACAGAAAAUUCUCAUGCACCAGCUUCUUCUGAAUCAGUCAUGUUGCUAAAAACUAGAAGUCCUUAAAAAGGAAUUGCCUAUCCAAAAAAAAAAAAAAAAAAA